GACGAACGCUGGCGGCGUGCUUAACACAUGCAAGUCGAACGGAAAGGCCCUGCUUUUGUGGGGUGCUCGAGUGGCGAACGGGUGAGUAACACGUGAGUAACCUGCCCUUGACUUUGGGAUAACUUCAGGAAACUGGGGCUAAUACCGGAUAGGAGCUCCUGCUGCAUGGUGGGGGUUGGAAAGUUUCGGCGGUUGGGGAUGGACUCGCGGCUUAUCAGCUUGUUGGUGGGGUAGUGGCUUACCAAGGCUUUGACGGGUAGCCGGCCUGAGAGGGUGACCGGCUACAUUGGGACUGAGAUACGGCCCAGACUCCUACGGGAGGCAGCAGUGGGGAAUAUUGCACAAUGGGCGGAAGCCUGAUGCAGCAACGCCGCGUGCGGGAUGAAGGCCUUCGGGUUGUAAACCGCUUUCGCCUGUGACGAAGCGUGAGUGACGGUAAUGGGUAAAGAAGCACCGGCUAACUACGUG
This 468-nucleotide ribosomal RNA is filed under the name uncultured bacterium. RNAcentral's name for it is "partial 16S ribosomal RNA". It matches the Rfam family "Bacterial small subunit ribosomal RNA", at positions 28 to 507 of the family's 1533-position model. The record is from RNAcentral.